GACGAACGCUGGCGGCGUGCUUAACACAUGCAAGUCGAACGGAAAGGCCCUGCUUUUGUGGGGUGCUCGAGUGGCGAACGGGUGAGUAACACGUGAGUAACCUGCCCUUGACUUUGGGAUAACUUCAGGAAACUGGGGCUAAUACCGGAUAGGAGCUCCUGCUGCAUGGUGGGGGUUGGAAAGUUUCGGCGGUUGGGGAUGGACUCGCGGCUUAUCAGCUUGUUGGUGGGGUAGUGGCUUACCAAGGCUUUGACGGGUAGGCGGCCUGAGAGGGUGGCCGGCCACAAUGGGCCUGAGGGACGGAGCAGACUCGUACAGGAGGCAGCAGUGGAGAAUAUUGCACAGUGGGCGGAAGCCUGAGGCAGCGACGCCGCGUGCGUGAUGACGGCCUUCGGGUUGUAAACCGCUGUCACCUGUUACGAAGCGUGAGUGACGGUAAUGGGUAAAGAAGCACCGGCUAACUACGUG
Molecule: ribosomal RNA, 468 nt
Filed under: uncultured bacterium
Lineage: Bacteria
Description: partial 16S ribosomal RNA
Rfam family: Bacterial small subunit ribosomal RNA
Source: RNAcentral